AGAGAGAGAUAUAAGAUUAGAGUGUAAAGAAAAAUAAUAUCAAUUAGCCUGCGGGUAGGAAGAAAGAAAGAGAUUAGAUAUAUUAUGAUUACCCCAAUCCAUUAAUAUGAGGAUACCUAUCCUCCCUCAAGGGAAUGAGAUUAGUAUUUUGGGAUAAAUUUUAUUCCCAAGUGAAUCCAAUAUUACCAACUAAAUUACUUAGUGCGCUUAGUCAAACACCGUUAUAUUUUUUUAUUCCUAUUGGAUUACUAGAAAUCUUUAAAAGAUAGUGCGAACCAAACACCGUUAUAUUUUUUUAUUCCUAUUGGAUUACUAGGAAUUUUUAAAAGAUAGUGCGAACCAAACGCACCCUAAAGUGGUAAUCUUAUUAUUAUUAUUAUUAUUAUUACUAUUGUUAUUAUUAUUAUUAUUAUUUUGAAUAAGGGGGUUUUUGGUAUCUUUGAAAAAAUAUAAAAAAGUAUUUUUUCGAAACAAAGUUUAUGAUGAAAAGUAGUUUUUGUUUUCGAAUAAAAAAUUUUGAAAAAUUAAAAUAUUAGUUUUUUUAUGAAAUUUGAAAUAUAGACCAUUUUAAUUCGGUUAUCCAAAUGUUUAAAAUUUUGAUUUUAGUAUCCAAUCUUUCAGUUUAUUUGAUUUAAAUAAUUUGAUGGCUUUUCGGAUAUGCCAUUUGAAAUAAUUACUUAUUUUAAUGAAUUAGAGUUACGUAAAUUACAUAAAAUAUUAACUAAAACACAUUCCAAUUUUGAAGUAAAAGAGUCACUACUUGGCUCAAAUCAAAUAAAUUAAAAGAUUAGAUAGUAAAAUAAAGAAUUUUAAAGGUUAAAUAGUUAAAUCUAAAUGGGUAAUAAUUGAGAUGAUAUUUAUGCAUUUUUUC
This 871-nucleotide long non-coding RNA is filed under the name Ananas comosus (pineapple). Its description in RNAcentral is "long non-coding RNA (ACOM_LNC037522)". Lineage: Eukaryota; Viridiplantae; Streptophyta; Magnoliopsida; Poales; Bromeliaceae. The record is from RNAcentral.